GACCUAUUUGGAAGCCGGCAUGGACAAUCUGAUAGAGAAAAAAAAAAUGAGGAAAACUGAGGUCAAGAGGGUUAAGUGACUUGCCCAUGGCCACACAGCUAGAAAUCUAGGAAAGCCUUCUGU
This 123-nucleotide long non-coding RNA is filed under the name Monodelphis domestica (gray short-tailed opossum). RNAcentral describes it as "lncRNA (ENSMODG00000041748.1)". Lineage: Eukaryota; Metazoa; Chordata; Mammalia; Didelphimorphia; Didelphidae. The record is from RNAcentral.